ACGGAAGGCAGCAGUAGGGAAUAUUGCACAAUGGGGGGAACCCUGAUGCAGCAACGCCACGUGUGGGAAGAAGCAUUUCGGUGUGUAAACCACUGUCGUGAGGGAAUAAUUCUUGGCUCCGGCCAAGUUGAAUGUACCUCGAAAGGAAGCACCGGCAAACUUCGUGCCAGCAGCCGCGGUAAUACGAGGGGUGCAAGCGUUGUUCGGAAUCACUGGGCGUAAAGGGAGCGUAGGCGGAGACGCAAGCAGUCUGUACAAUACCGGGGCCCAACCCCGGACCUGCAGUCUGGACUGUGUCGCUUGGAUAGUUCAGGGGCAGGCGGAAUUCGUGGUGUAGCGGUGGAAUGCGUAGAGAUCAGGAAGAACACCGAUGGCGAAGGCAGCCUACUAGGGAGUCAUCGACGCUGAGGCACGAAAGUGCGGGUAGCAAACAGGAUUAGAUACCCUGGUA
This 451-nucleotide ribosomal RNA is filed under the name uncultured Fibrobacter sp. RNAcentral's name for it is "partial 16S ribosomal RNA". It matches the Rfam family "Bacterial small subunit ribosomal RNA", at positions 341 to 792 of the family's 1533-position model. Lineage: Bacteria; Pseudomonadati; Fibrobacterota; Fibrobacteria; Fibrobacterales; Fibrobacteraceae. The record is from RNAcentral.